UCGUCAAGAAAAGCCGCUAUUGUUUAUACCGUACCCGUACCGUAAACCGACACAGGUGGAUGAGGAGAGAAUCCUAAGGCCGGCGGAAGAAGCAUUGUCAAGGAACUCGGCAAAAUGGCCCCGUAACUUAGGGAUAAGGGGUGCCUGGGAAACCAGGCCGCAGAGAAUAGGCUCAAGCAACUGUUUAGCAAAAACACAGGUCUAUGCGAAACCGAAAGGUGAGGUAUAUGGGCUGACGCCUGCCCGGUGCUGGAAGGUUAAGAGGAGAGGUUAGCGCAAGCGAAGCUUUGAAUUUAAGCCCCAGUAAACGGCGGCCGUAACAAUAACGGUCCUAAGGUAGCGAAAUUCCUUGUCGGGUAAGUUCCGACCCGCACGAAAGGCGUAAUGAUUUGAGCGCUGUCUCGACAAUGCAUCCGGUGAAAUUGAAGUACCAGUGAAGAUGCUGGUUACCUGCGCCAGGACGGAAAGACCCCAUGGAGCUUUACUCCAGUCUGGUACUGGGACUCGGUAUUGCAUGUACAGGAUAGGUGGGAGGCUAGGAGAUGGUAACGCCAGUUGCCAUGGAGCCGCUGUUGGGAUACCACCCUUGCAGUAUUGGGUUUCUAACCAGCCGCCGUGACCCGGCGGUGGGACAAUGCCAGACGGGGAGUUUGACUGGGGCGGUCGCCUCCGAAAGGGUAUCGGAGGCGCCCAAAGGUUCCCUCAGAAUGGACGGAAACCAUUCGAAGAGUGCAAAGGCAGAAGGGAGCUUGACUGCGACACCGACGGGUGGAGCAGGUACGAAAGUAGGGCUUAGUGAUCCGGUGGUAUUAAGUGGGAAUGCCAUCGCUCAACGGAUAAAAGCUACCCUGGAUAACAGGCUUAUCACUCCCAAGAGUUCACAUCGACGGAGUGGUUUGGCACCUCGAUGUCGGCUCAUCGCAUCCUGGGGCUGUAGUAGGUCCCAAGGGUUGGGCUGUUCGCCCAUUAAAGCGGUACGCGAGCUGGGUUCAGAACGUCGUGAGACAGUUCGGUCCCUAUCCGGCGUGGGCGUAGGAUAUCUGAGAGGAGCUGUCCUUAGUACGAGAGGACCGGGAUGGACGGGCCGCUGGUGCAUCGGUUAGACUGCCAAGUCUACGGCCGAGUAGCCAAGCCCGGAAGGGAUAAACGCUGAAGGCAUCUAAGCGUGAAGCCCCCCUUAAGAUGAGAUAUCCCAUUCGUUAAGAAGUAAACCCCCUUGAAGACGACGAGGUAGAUAGGGCAGAGGUGGAAGUGCAGCAAUGCAUGGAGCUGACUGUUACUAAUCGGGUGAGGGCUUGACCGA
RNAcentral lists this ribosomal RNA (1303 nucleotides) under metagenome. RNAcentral describes it as "bacterial LSU rRNA". It matches the Rfam family "Bacterial large subunit ribosomal RNA", at positions 1605 to 2925 of the family's 2925-position model. The record is from RNAcentral.